Molecule: transfer RNA, 111 nt
Filed under: marine sediment metagenome
Description: tRNA-OTHER
Rfam family: tRNA
About the family: Transfer RNA (tRNA) molecules are approximately 80 nucleotides in length.
Source: RNAcentral
GGGACGGUUGAGCAGUCUGGUAGCUCGCCAACCUGGAAAGCUGGAGGUCGCAACAGGCAAGCCACGUAGCGGUACGGAUAGGCAAGCUGGGUUCGAAUCCCGCCCGUUCCC